ACACUCGUGCUGAGCAGAACGGAAAAAGGGCUGAGUUUAGAGGAAUUGCGUAGCAUCCGAGGUUUGCUAUCCAGGCGUGGCUUAUAUACGGAAACGAUUCGAAAGGUGUGCAGCUCAGCGGCUACAAGUUUGGGGGUUAUGAGUAGCUACUUGUUGGCGCUGAUGGGAUUUUUUGCCAUUGCUAAAUCUUAUUUUUGAAAACAAAUUAUUAAUUUAAGAUUUGAUGUUAGUUCAAGUUUGAAAUUUAUUCUAAUUUUAUGUGCCUAAUUUUAUGCUUUAAUUUUGUAGUAUUUGUGCAACAUACUGAUUGGAAAAUAGCCAGCGAAAAAAAUUCAUUAAA
Molecule: long non-coding RNA, 340 nt
Organism: Rhagoletis zephyria (snowberry fruit fly)
Lineage: Eukaryota; Metazoa; Arthropoda; Insecta; Diptera; Tephritidae
Source: RefSeq, a predicted model, not a curated record